This is a non-coding RNA of Corylus avellana, 2247 nucleotides long. Lineage: Eukaryota; Viridiplantae; Streptophyta; Magnoliopsida; Fagales; Betulaceae. The record is from RefSeq and is a predicted model, not a curated record.
CCAAUGCCAUAGCCGACCUAGGAGCUCAAGAAAAGUGAAAGCCUCUCUAUCUCUCGUGGUGGCAAUGGCGAAAGGGGAUGAUGCAGUGAUGAAGAAGAGGAACAAGGCGAUCAGGAAGAGGCUUCAUAAGCAUAGUGAAUCGUCUACUGCGGUCUCUGCUCGGGUCGCCGCCAUUAUUGCUUCCAAGAAGCGCCGCAAGUCCGGAAAACGACGCAUGUGCGAGGGGAUGUGUUUUAGCCUCCCUACUCCUGAUGAUCCUUUCAACGAGAGGCAUGAAAAGAUGGAUUUGAAAAGAAAGGAACCUAAGAAGAAAAUGUCUUCCCAAGAUGACGAGAGGGGUUUUGUUAAAGGGAAGAUUGCUGCACUGAGGAAUGGAACCGAAGCUAGGAAUGUCACGUUAGAAAAGAAAAAUGAGAAGGUUGUGAAUUUGAAGGAUGAACAAAAAAGUUCAAUGAUAUCGAUGAACGGUCUGGGCCAGAAAUGUCUUGUUGACUUAGAAGAAAAGGUUAAAGUGAUUAGGAAGAAAGGUGAACAUGGUCAACAUGGAUGGGCCUGUGAAAACUUAAAUCAUCCAUCGAAGUUUCUCAUUAUGUGCUUGAAUUCAAUAGAAAAUGCAUUGCGACAUGAUGGUACCUACAUUAGUGAAGAGGACAAGCCUUUGUUUGUUAAUGAAUGGGGAGUUGAAUUCUGUAAAUAUUAUUCAUCUGGAAAGGAUAUUUUGGAGACUAGUGGACCUAGUUCUACUGUAGAGCAAAUUGCUUGGAUAGUUUCCACUGCCGCUGAUACCAUUGCAAGAAAGGAGAAAGAAGGCAUGACUUUUGCCAAUCCCUUUCUUUUAUUCAUUGUACCAUCCCAGGAGAAAGCUGCCAAGGUUCGCUCAAUCUGCAAACCUUUGAAGGCUCUUGGAAUACAUACUGUGAGUAUACAUCCUGGUGCAUCAUUGGAUCACCAGAUUCAAGGUCUAAAGAGCUGUGAGCCUGAGUUUCUUGUGUCAACACCUGAGAGGCUACUGGAACUUGUUACCUCUAAGGCAAUUGAUAUAUCUGGUGUCUCCUUGCUGGUCGUUGAUGGACUUGAUCGUCUUUCAGAUGGUGGUUAUCCUGAUAUGAUAAAAUCCAUUAGGCAAUCUAUAUCGGGAACUCCACUUACUGUGGUUUUCAAUGAUUGCUUCAAUCAUGCCUCUGUUCCAUUGGUUCAAAACCUUUUGUUGCGAUCAAUCUAUCGACUUUCGCUUAAUGAUACCAUUGCCAGUCUAAGUUCAUGCAUUGUCCAGUCUGUGAAUGUGUGCACCUCAGAAGAAGAAAAACUAUCAAAGUGCAUUCAAAUUCUGGACCAAACUUAUUGCAAUCAACUCUUCUCUCAACCCUUGAAGGUGCUAUACAUAUUUGCUAAAGAUAGCAACCUCAGCAAAUUAGCCGCUGCUCUCAAAAUCAAGGGUUAUUCUGUAUCAAGUGACUCAUCGUGUACCAUUUCAAAUUUUAACAACAGCGAAAUGAAACCUGCAGUGUCCAUGAUCAAUAUUGAGCAGAUAAGUACUGCUGAUUUAGAGGAGUAUGAGAUUGUAAUAAUACCCAGCUUCGUACUUCCAAUUGACAGUUAUGUGCAUGUUCUCUCAAGGAUGGCCCGCCAUACUGUCAACGGUGUGUUGCACAGCUUCUUAACUAAAGAAAAUGCAGCACUUGCUGGACCAUUGACUGAAACCCUAGAACAAUGUGGGCAGGCAGUGCCUGAAGCUUUAAGAAACUUGUGUCUGACAGCACCCAUGUGGGAACAAUGAAGUUGGAUGCGCUUUCAUCAUUAUAUGUUCUCAUUCUUUCUGGCUACUGCAUCAUCUUUACCACAAGCAUAAUUAGUUGGAAAAUUGCAUGAUUUUUUUGUUUUCCUGUGGUUCUGUCCAACAGCUUCUGCAGUUGUUGAUGAGGGGAUUAGAAUGUCAUAAUCUCAUAACAGUGAAAAUUUCAGGUAGAAAGUCAAUUUUGAGCCUUGAUAGAGCCUCUGAUAUCUCAAUUAUCAGAAUGAGCUAUUUGCGGAUCAUUUCUCUAAUUUGUGUGGAAGAGCUUUAGUUUUGUUGAUUACCAAGAACUGGAUAUAAUGCAGUGUGAAGCGUGUGAUGGCUUACUCAGCUUCUAUAGAGAAUGUCGCGGUUUUGACACUGCAAAAGGGACAGCAGUGCACAGAAGUUGAGAGUGAAAAAAAUGGAAGUAGAAUUAACCAAUAAGAGGAAAUGGAAAGACUAAUGUUGUACAA